UGGGGAAUAUUGCACAAUGGGCGCAAGCCUGAUGCAGCCAUGCCGCGUGUAUGAAGAAGGCCUUCGGGUUGUAAAGUACUUUCAGUCGGGAGGAAGGUGGUAAGGUUAAUAACCUUAUCAAUUGACGUUACCGACAGAAGAAGCACCGGCUAACUCCGUGCCAGCAGCCGCGGUAAUACGGAGGGUGCAAGCGUUAAUCGGAAUUACUGGGCAUAAAGCGCACGCAGGCGGUUGAUUGAGUCAGAUGGGAAAUCCCCGGGCUUAACCCGGGAAUUGGAUCUGAUAAUGGUCAGCUAGAGUCUUGUAGAGGGGGGUAGAAAUCCAUGUGUAGCGGUGAAAUGCGUAGAGAUUGGGAGGAAUACCGGUGGCGAAGGGGGCCCCCUGGACAAAGACUGACAGUCAGGUGCGAAAGGGGGGGGAGCAAACAGG
This 429-nucleotide ribosomal RNA is filed under the name Chloroflexota bacterium. Its description in RNAcentral is "Chloroflexi bacterium partial 16S ribosomal RNA". It matches the Rfam family "Bacterial small subunit ribosomal RNA", at positions 355 to 776 of the family's 1533-position model. The record is from RNAcentral. Lineage: Bacteria; Bacillati; Chloroflexota.